UACGUAGGCAGCAAGCGUUGUUCGGAAUUACUGGGCGUAAAGAGUGUGUAGGCGGUGCUCUAAGUCUGUUGUGAAAUCUCCCGGCUUAACUGGGAGGGUGCGGCGGAGACUGGAGUGCUAGAGUGUGGGAGAGGUAAGCGGAAUUCCUAGUGUAGCGGUGAAAUGCGUAGAUAUCAGGAGGAACACCUGUGGUGUAGACAGCUUACUGGACCACGACUGACGCUGAGACACGAAAGCGUGGGUAGCAAACAGG
This 253-nucleotide ribosomal RNA is filed under the name uncultured bacterium. Its description in RNAcentral is "partial 16S ribosomal RNA". It matches the Rfam family "Bacterial small subunit ribosomal RNA", at positions 524 to 776 of the family's 1533-position model. The record is from RNAcentral.